This 730-nucleotide ribosomal RNA is filed under the name uncultured bacterium. RNAcentral's name for it is "bacterial SSU rRNA". It matches the Rfam family "Bacterial small subunit ribosomal RNA", at positions 79 to 792 of the family's 1533-position model. The record is from RNAcentral.
AUUUACACUUGAGUGAGUGGCGAACUGGUGAGUAACACGUGGGAAACCUGCCCAGGAGCGGGGGAUAACACCUGGAAACAGAUGCUAAUACCGCAUAACAACUUGGACCGCAUGGUCCGAGCUUGAAAGAUGGCUUCGGCUAUCACUUUUGGAUGGUCCCGCGGCGUAUUAGCUAGAUGGUGGGGUAACGGCUCACCAUGGCAAUGAUACGUAGCCGACCUGAGAGGGUAAUCGGCCACAUUGGGACUGAGACACGGCCCAAACUCCUACGGGAGGCAGCAGUAGGGAAUCUUCCACAAUGGACGAAAGUCUGAUGGAGCAACGCCGCGUGAGUGAAGAAGGGUUUCGGCUCGUAAAACUCUGUUGUUAAAGAAGAACAUAUCUGAGAGUAACUGUUCAGGUAUUGACGGUAUUUAACCAGAAAGCCACGGCUAACUACGUGCCAGCAGCCGCGGUAAUACGUAGGUGGCAAGCGUUGUCCGGAUUUAUUGGGCGUAAAGCGAGCGCAGGCGGUUUUUUAAGUCUGAUGUGAAAGCCUUCGGCUCAACCGAAGAAGUGCAUCGGAAACUGGGAAACUUGAGUGCAGAAGAGGACAGUGGAACUCCAUGUGUAGCGGUGAAAUGCGUAGAUAUAUGGAAGAACACCAGUGGCGAAGGCGGCUGUCUGGUCUGUAAACUGACGCUGAGGCUCGAAAGUAUGGGGUAGCAAACAGGAAUUAGAUACCCUGGUA